This 759-nucleotide ribosomal RNA is filed under the name uncultured Sebacinales. Its description in RNAcentral is "eukaryotic LSU rRNA". The stretch from base 182 to 759 matches the Rfam family "Eukaryotic large subunit ribosomal RNA", at positions 1 to 581 of the family's 3401-position model. The record is from RNAcentral. Lineage: Eukaryota; Fungi; Basidiomycota; Agaricomycetes; Sebacinales.
UGGAACGUGGACUUGGGCAUUGUCGUGUAACAACGACUGGCCUGAAAUGAAUAAGUGUACCCUGCUGCUGCAGCGUCUUCAGUGUGAUAAGCAUCUUCACUGAUAAAAGUUCCUUUGGGACACGAAUGCAAAGUGGGCUCUAUGCUUCCAACCGUCUGUUAACAGACAAUCUUUGACAAUUUGGCCUCAAAUCGGGUGGGACUACCCGCUGAACUUAAGCAUAUCAAUAAGCGGAGGAAAAGAAACUAACAAGGAUUCCCCUAGUAACGGCGAGUGAAGAGGGAAAAGCUCAAAUUUUGAAUCUGUCGUCUUUGGCGAUCGAGUUGUAAUCUAGAGAAGUGUUUUCUGCCUUGGACCACACAUAAAUUCCCUGGAAUGGGGUGUCAAAGAGGGUGAGAAUCCCGUUUGUGGUGUGGACUCCCUUGGCUCUGUGAUACACUCUCAACGAGUCGAGUUGUUUGGGAAUGCAGCUCAAAAUGGGUGGUAAAUUCCAUCUAAAGCUAAAUACUGGCGAGAGACCGAUAGCGAACAAGUACCGUGAGGGAAAGAUGAAAAGCACUUUGGAAAGAGAGUGAAACAGUACGUGAAAUUGUUGAAAGGGAAGCGUUUGAAGUCAGUCACGUUGUCUGGGACUCAGCCUUGCUUCUGCUUGGUGUACUUCCCAGUUAACGGGUCAGCGUCAGUUUCGACCGUGGGAGAAAGACUUGGGGAAUGUGGCUCCUCGGAGUGUUAUAGCCCCUUGUUGUAUGUCUCGGUUGG